CGGCGCAUGCUUUCGGGCGCCAUGCCCGCGGGAUUUGACUGACUGAGUGCCAGCAGCCGCGGGUGGGGCAGAUGGUUGGGGUGAAGUCGUAACAAGGUAACCUCAGCUCAGUCACAGUCGUAACAAGGUAACCUCAGUCAGUCAAGUCGUAACAAGGUAACCUCAGUCAGUCAAGUCGUAACAAGGUAACCUCAGUCAGUCAAGUCGUAACAAGGUAGCCUCUGUCAGUCAAUAAAUAA
RNAcentral lists this ribosomal RNA (239 nucleotides) under uncultured bacterium. RNAcentral describes it as "partial 16S ribosomal RNA". The record is from RNAcentral.